UUACUUUUUCAUCGUAUUGUGUUUAAAUUUUGUGUGGGUUUACUUUGUCAUUUUCAGUUUCAGAAUAUUAUGUUUUAGUCAUAUCAGUUUGUAUCUUUCCCCAGUUUGAUGAUAUUUUUUUCUGAUGAUGAUUUAGUCUGACCUUAUUUUUUCUUCCUUGGUUAGGGUGUCAUCUUUGCCAAGACUGAUGAAUUUCAGACUGAUGAUUUAGGUAUAUAUCAAAGGUAUUAUACAAUAUUGAAUCUUGCUUGAUAUAUUUAGUCUUUUUUCUUCUCUCUUAACGUGUAUUCUUUUCUUUCCAGCUUAUGGUUAUAUUAUAUAUGUCGAGGUAAAAAACAAACAUUCCGAUGACUUUCUUGACUUUAUUCAUAGUAGAGGAU
This 380-nucleotide long non-coding RNA is filed under the name Brassica napus (rape). RNAcentral's name for it is "long non-coding RNA (BNAP_LNC017560)". Lineage: Eukaryota; Viridiplantae; Streptophyta; Magnoliopsida; Brassicales; Brassicaceae. The record is from RNAcentral.